This 447-nucleotide ribosomal RNA is filed under the name uncultured bacterium. RNAcentral's name for it is "partial 16S ribosomal RNA". It matches the Rfam family "Bacterial small subunit ribosomal RNA", at positions 29 to 523 of the family's 1533-position model. The record is from RNAcentral.
AACGAACGCUGGCGGCAGGCUUAACACAUGCAAGUCGAACGCAUCGCAAGAUGAGUGGCAGACGGGUGAGUAACGCGUGGGAAUCUACCCAGUUCUACGGAACAACAGUUGGAAACGACUGCUAAUACCGUAUACGCCCCACGGGGGAAAGAUUUAUCGGAAUUGGAUGAGCCCGCGUAAGAUUAGCUAGUUGGUGGGGUAAUGGCCUACCAAGGCGACGAUCUUUAGCUGGUCUGAGAGGAUGAUCAGCCACACUGGGACUGAGACACGGCCCAGACUCCUACGGGAGGCAGCAGUGGGGAAUACUGGACAAUGGGCGCAAGCCUGAUCCAGCCAUGCCGCGUGAGUGAUGAAGGCCUUAGGGUUGUAAAGCUCUUUCACCGAUGAAGAUAAUGACGGUAGUCGGAGAAGAAGCCCCGGCUAACUUCGUGCCAGCAGCCGCAGUAA